AAACGUGGCCUAAUACCACAGUGGGAGAAUCGUAAGAUUGAAAGGGAUAGACUUGAGAGAAGCUGUCAAGUGUUGGUCCAGUCAAGCUUUGACCACUCGUGGAACAUCAAUCCUCAUACUGAAAUAAUAUUGCCUUAAAGUUCUGUCUAAACACAACGGGCUUCGUAAGAUUUGCCGGACGACGUGACGGUGCGACAGUGCCAUUUAAUUGUACGUGGAAAUCUGAAAUUAUAUUUUCGGAAUUAUACAGAAAAUAUGAGACUGAGUCUAUAUAUCGUCGUAUUCUUAUUGAUAAUAGUAGCGACCACGGCGUUCAUAGUUCCGAUAAAAUUACGAUGGAAGCAUAAAAAAACGAGACAGAGAUUGAUUGAGCAACUUUGUAGACGCAAACCAAUUUCGCCACUUGCACUGCCGUGACGAUGAAGAGUCCGUCUGUUUAUCUACUUAUCUAUCUAUCUAUCGUUUUGGAAAGAAUUUGUAGAAUAAUCUCUCACAUGUAUGGUAUAAAUAUGCAAGAAUAAAUAAAAUACGCAUCAUGCAUCCUUAAA
This is a long non-coding RNA of Dinoponera quadriceps, 548 nucleotides long. RefSeq lists it as uncharacterized. NCBI's taxonomy places the organism in Eukaryota, Metazoa, Arthropoda, Insecta, Hymenoptera, Formicidae. The record is from RefSeq and is a predicted model, not a curated record. The transcript is spliced from 2 exons.